AUUGAACGCUGGCGGCAUGCUUUACACAUGCCAGUCGAACGGUAACAGGCCGCAAGGUUCUGACGAGUGGCGAACGGGCGAGUAAUGCAUCGGAACGUGCCCAGUCGUGGGGGUUAACUACUCGAAAGAGUAGCUAAUACCGCAUACGAUCUAUGGAUGAAAGCGGGGGACCGUAAGGCCUCGCGCGGUUGGAGCGGCCGAUGUCAGAUUAGGUAGUUGGUGGGGUAAAGGCUCACCAAGCCAACGACCGGUAGCUGGUCUGAGAGGACGACCAGCCACACUGGGACUGAGACACGGCCCAGACUCCUGCGGGAGGCAGCAGUGGGGAAUUUUAGACAAUGGGCGCAAGCCUGAUCCAGCAAUGCCGCGUGCAGGAAGAAGGCCUUCGGGUUGUAAACUGCUUUUGUACGGAACGAAACGGCUCUGGUUAAUACCCGGGGCUAAUGACGGUACCGUAAGAAUAAGCACCGGCUAACUACGUG
This 482-nucleotide ribosomal RNA is filed under the name uncultured bacterium. RNAcentral's name for it is "partial 16S ribosomal RNA". It matches the Rfam family "Bacterial small subunit ribosomal RNA", at positions 30 to 507 of the family's 1533-position model. The record is from RNAcentral.